CACACAGCCGGCCAGCCCCGGGUCACUCGCUAUACCUUUCAGCCACAAAAUCCUCGGCUUGUGACGGUGCCCCAACCCAACGGCUACCUCAGCAGAGGCUGAGGGCUCCCUGGGGAUUUCUGGUUAGUUUAUAAUCAAUUAAAGAGCAGAAGCGAAGGCAGAAAUCAGUCAGAGCGGCCGAGGGCGGGCUGCACCUGUGGCAUAUGGAGGUUCCCAGGCUAGGGGUCCAAUUGGAGCUAUAGCUGCCCACCACAGCCACAGCAAUGCAGGUUCUGAGCCGUGUCUGCGACCUACACCACAGCUCAUGGCAACGCCGGAUCCUUAACCCACUGAGCAAGGCCAGGAAUGGAACCUGCAGCCUCAUGGUUCCAAGUCAGAGUUGUUUCCUCUGCACUACAAGGGGAACACCCCAUCAGACCUCUUCUAAUGAGGACCACCUGUGGCACUCGUGUGUUAAGGGUUGAAUCAGAGCUGCGGCUGCCACACCGAUGCGGGAUCUGAACUGCACCUGCAACCUACACCACAGCUCACAUCCUUUGCCCACUGAGCAAUACUAAUCAGGCUUGUAACCUGCUGAGCUACAAUGGGAACUCCCACAUUAUAAUUUUUCAAUGUGUUAUUUUGACUUUAUAAAUGGACAGAUUUAUGCAUGGAAAUCUGUCUUUUCAAAUGACCGGGUCAAGUUGAUUGG
RNAcentral lists this long non-coding RNA (691 nucleotides) under Sus scrofa (pig). Its description in RNAcentral is "lncRNA (ENSSSCG00055009140.1)". The record is from RNAcentral. Lineage: Eukaryota; Metazoa; Chordata; Mammalia; Artiodactyla; Suidae.